UACGUAUGUCGCAAGCGUUAUCCGGAAUUAUUGGGCAUAAAGGGCAUCUAGGCGGCCAGACAAGUCUGGGGUGAAAACUUGCGGCUCAACCGCAAGCCUGCCCUGGAAACUGUCUGGCUAGAGUGCUGGAGAGGUGGACGGAACUGCACGAGUAGAGGUGAAAUUCGUAGAUAUGUGCAGGAAUGCCGAUGAUGAAGAUAGUUCACUGGACGGCAACUGACGCUGAAGUGCGAAAGCUAGGGGAGCGAACAGG
Molecule: ribosomal RNA, 253 nt
Filed under: uncultured bacterium
Lineage: Bacteria
Description: partial 16S ribosomal RNA
Rfam family: Bacterial small subunit ribosomal RNA
Source: RNAcentral